This 482-nucleotide ribosomal RNA is filed under the name Sphenomorphus tonkinensis (Tonkin forest skink). Its description in RNAcentral is "partial 16S ribosomal RNA". It matches the Rfam family "Bacterial large subunit ribosomal RNA", at positions 1844 to 2575 of the family's 2925-position model. The record is from RNAcentral. Lineage: Eukaryota; Metazoa; Chordata; Lepidosauria; Squamata; Scincidae.
UAUUAAAGGUCCUGCCUGCCCAGUGAAACUUAUUUUAACGGCCGCGGUAUUCUAACCGUGCAAAGGUAGCGUAAUCACUUGUCUUCUAAAUAAAGACCAGUAUGAACGGCUAAAUGAGGACAAGCCUGUCUCCUACGCCCCAUCAGUGAAACUGAUCUCCCCGUCCAAAAGCGGGGAUACCUACACAAGACGAGAAGACCCUGUGGAGCUUUAAACCUACUACUAACAAGCCAAGGGCCCUUAGUAUAAGUUUUAAGUUGGGGCGACUUCGGAACAAAGCAAAACUUCCGAGCAUGGAACCAAAACUUCCACCCGAAGCUAACAAGCUAAAGCAAAAAUUGACCCAGUCACACUGAACAACGAACCAAGUUACCCCAGGGAUAACAGCGCUAUCUUCUUCAAGAGUCCCUAUCGACAAGAAGGUUUACGACCUCGAUGUUGGAUCAGGACACCCAAAUGGUGCAGCCGCUAUUAAAGGUUCG